Long non-coding RNA from Mus musculus (house mouse), 732 nucleotides. RefSeq annotates it as predicted gene, 30745. NCBI's taxonomy places the organism in Eukaryota, Metazoa, Chordata, Mammalia, Rodentia, Muridae. The record is from RefSeq and is a predicted model, not a curated record. The transcript is spliced from 3 exons.
AGAGAGGCUCUGUGGCUGGCUGCCCCUCUGGACACCAACUUCCCCUUUGUCCUAGGAGCUGCACUACCUCUGGGUACAGGAUCUCCCGUGUCCACCACGGAGCCGAGGGGAGGAAAGAGGACAUGGACAUGUAGAGAAGGAGCCUUACCAAUGCUCUGAGCCUGAAGCCCAGGAGGUGAUGCAACUUCCUCAAGCAGAUGGGACAGAGGUCCAGGGGCCGACGGAGCACCUCAUCCAGGCUAAGCGCCCCCUGCAGGAGGCAGCGGAGCCAGCGACAGCUCCCCAGGCCCAGGAGGUGGCAGAGCUCAUGGCAGCACUGAACCAUGCCCAGGGCGCUGAAGCACAGGGUCCGUCCUCGCUCACGAGGCAGCGUCUCGGGGCCACCUGCUGCUGCUGCCUCCAGCAGAGCUGAGUCAGGAACACUGGACCCGGCCUGCAAGAACUCUCCAGAGAAGCGAGCGAAGCUACACACACCCACUUCUGGGGAGAAGCCAGAAGAAGUAGUCCAAAGGACAGCCAUGGCUCAGGAAUCUAGGGUGAAACCACCCCAGCACUUCCUGCAGCCCAGGACAGCCAGAAGAGGAAGUGGUCCCCUGGCCCUGCCAUAUGCAGUUGACUCUGGGGACCAGCCCCUUGCCCAGGGCCCGUGAGAACAUAGCCUCAAGCUUGUGCACACACCCCACCCCACCCCUACCCCCACCCCCACCCCACCCCUACCCCCACCCCCACCCC